ACAGGAUGCACCUGACCUCAAUUGUGAGCUUCAUGGCAAAAGCUGUUAAUAUGUAUGUACAUGUACUUUCUUUCUUUAUUUUUUAAAUUUGCAAAAAUCUCAAACUUUUUUCACGUUGUCAUUAAGGCGUGUUGUGUGUACAAUGUUGAGAGGGAAAAUUUAAUUUUGUCUAUUUUGGGAUAAGGCUGUAACAUAAAAUGUGGAAAAAGUGAAGCACUGUGAAUACUUUCUGGAUGCAGUGUUUUUAUAUAUAUAUAUGUAUGUGUGUAUACACACAGUUGACAUGAAAGACUAAACAAAAUAAAUAUCUUGUGUGUCUGCCCACUACAUUAUAAACCUGAGUUCUUUUGGGUGAACUGUCCCACAUCAUGAUUGUUCUAGAUCAUUGUCUUGGUGGGAUCAGGCAUUUGGUCAGAAACCUACAAAUAUCGUUUUCUUGACUUUAAAAUGGGUGUUAUGGACAAAAUUAUCUGUUUGAUUUGGAAAAUUAAUGCGGACGUGUCAGUGUUUUUGGACUUGUGAAGAACAAUUUCAUUUGUGUUGUGUGUGUUGGGGGGUGGGGGGGCAUUCUUGGGCUUCAUUUAUCUUGUAAGGGAGAAGUUUGAUCAUAAAAGCAGCCACACAUAGUCCGCCGUUUGUGCUUCAAAUCUGAGCUGCUAUGAUUUAAAAUAAAGAAUGUGGGGGGAAUGGGCCAUGUACGUAACUCGCAAUUAUGUUGGAACCAGUUGGCAAAACCUUUCCAUCAAGUGUCCACAGGUCAGGUUUCACCCACACCUGCAGCGUGUUCUGUCAGGAGUGUAGCUGGUAGACAUUUUCCAUGCUUGUGUACGGUAUGGGCUAUGAUCUGCGACAUCAGUUAUUAGGUUUGAUAAGGUAAUGUUGGGUUAAUUAUAAAUGUCAGUUUAUGAGAACAUAUUCCAUCACCAAAAUUCAACUCUACCUGUUUUCUGGGUGUUAGUGUGUAACAGUAGUUUUUAUUCUAGUGAUCACAAGCAUGUUACAGUAAUAUUAAUACCUAGGAUUCUAUUUGAUGCACCUUUUUAUGUUGCUUUACCUAGCUACAGUUGAGUUUGUAUUAAAUGUUCUCUACACAAGUACAUUUUACACUUUUUUUUUUACAGCUUGUUCUUUAAUCCAGUUUAGUUUUAUCAAUGAGGAUCAUUUUAAAUGUGCUAAGUUUUGAUUAUUUUGGAUUAAAUGUAAUAAAAAAAAAAUAAGAU
Long non-coding RNA from Thalassophryne amazonica, 1220 nucleotides. RefSeq lists it as uncharacterized. Lineage: Eukaryota; Metazoa; Chordata; Actinopteri; Batrachoidiformes; Batrachoididae. The record is from RefSeq and is a predicted model, not a curated record. The transcript is spliced from 2 exons.